Dethiobacter alkaliphilus AHT 1 is the source of this 2282-nucleotide ribosomal RNA. It matches the Rfam family "Bacterial large subunit ribosomal RNA", at positions 100 to 2304 of the family's 2925-position model. The record is from Rfam. Lineage: Bacteria; Bacillati; Bacillota; Dethiobacteria; Dethiobacterales; Dethiobacteraceae.
UGAUUCUGCGGGUUUCCGAAAUGGGGCAAACCCACUGUGAGUCAUGUGGCAGUAACUCAUACUGAAUAAAAUAGGGUAUGAGGGCGUCAUACCCGGGGAACUGAAACAUCUUUAGUACCCGGAGGAAAGUAAAGCAACCGCGAUUUCCCAAGUAGCGGCGAGCGAACGGGAAACAGCCUAAACCUUUAUCUGUGUGAUAGCCUGCCGGCGUUGCAGAUAGGGGGUCGCGGGGCACAUCAUGGUCUUCGGCAGAAGACCGCAGUGGAAAGUCAUCUUAUUAGUCGAACGGUCUGGAAAGUCCGGUCAUAGAAGGUAAUAACCCGUAGACGAAAAUAAGUUGACAGCUGUGAUGUGUACCCAAGUAGCACGGGACACGUGAGACCCCGUGUGAAUCAGGGAGGCCCACCUCCUAAGGCUAAAUACCAACUGGCAACCGAUAGUGAACCAGUACCGUGAGGGAAAGGUGAAAAGCACCCCGGGAGGGGAGUGAAAUAGAACCUGAAACCGUAUGCUUACAAGCAGUGGCAGCACUAUGUCUUCGGAUAUGUGUGGCCGCGUACUUUUUGUAGAACGGGCCAACGAGUUACGUUCUGUAGCAAGGUUAAGUGGUUCUGCCACGAAGCCGCAGCGAAAGCGAGUCUGAAUAGGGCGAAUGAGUUGCAGGGCGUAGACCCGAAACCGAGUGAUCUACCCAUGGCCAGUGUGAAGCUUGUUUAAACGCAAGUGGAGGCGCGAACCCACCAAUGUUGAAAAAUUGGGGGAUGAGCUGUGGGUAGCGGUGAAAUGCUAAUCGAACUCGGAUAUAGCUGGUUCUCCCCGAAAUAGCUUUAGGGCUAGCGUCGGAUGAUGUGUCGUGGAGGUAGAGCACUGUUUGGGCUAGGGGCCUUACCAGGUUACCGAACUCAGAUAAACUCCGAAUGCCAUAGACAUUAAUCCGGCAGUCAGACUAUGGGAGAUAAGUUUCAUAGUCAAGAGGGAAACAGCCCAGACCGUCAGCUAAGGUCCCCAAGUACAGACUAAGUGGAAAAGGAUGUGGAAUUGCUUAGACAACCAGGAUGUUGGCUUAGAAGCAGCCACCAUUUAAAGAGUGCGUAAUAGCUCACUGGUCAAGUGAUUCUGCGCCGAAAAUGUAACGGGGCUAAGUCUGUCACCGAAGCUACGGCUUGUCGUAAGACAGGGGUAGGGGAGCGUUCUAAGCUGCGUCGAAGCCAUACCGUAAGGAGUGGUGGAGCGCUUAGAAGAGCGAAUGUUGGCAUGAGUAGCGAGAAGGCAAGUGAGAAUCUUGCCCGCCGAAAACCUAAGGUUUCCUGAGGAAGGCUCGUCCUCUCAGGGUUAGUCGGGACCUAAGCCGAGGCAGAAAUGCGUAGGCGAUGGACAACAGGUUGAUAUUCCUGUACCACCUGCAGCCGCUAUUAGCAAUGGGGUGACGCAGAAGGGUAGGCACAGCGCACCGUUGGUUGUGUGCGUUCAAGCGUUUAGGGAGUGCGGAUAGGCAAAUCCGUCUGCACAUUAUCCUGAGGCGUGAUGAGGAGCGAAAUUUUAGUAGCGAACUGGCUGAUCCCAUGCUGCCAAGAAAAGCCUCUAGCGAGGAUGUCAGGUGCCCGUACCGUAAACCGACACAGGUAGGUGAGGAGAGAAUCCUAAGGCGCGCGGAAGAACCUUCGUUAAGGAACUCGGCAAAUUGACCCCGUAACUUCGGGAGAAGGGGUGCCCCGUUAUCGUGAAGCAUUUAUGUUUUGCGAGAGGGGGCCGCAGAGAAUAGGCCCAAGCGACUGUUUAGCAAAAACACAGGUCUCUGCGAAGUCGUAAGACGACGUAUAGGGGCUGACGCCUGCCCGGUGCUGGAAGGUUAAGAGGAGAGGUUAGCGCAAGCGAAGCUUUGAAUCUAAGCCCCAGUAAACGGCGGCCGUAACUAUAACGGUCCUAAGGUAGCGAAAUUCCUUGUCGGGUAAGUUCCGACCCGCACGAAAGGCGUAACGACUUGGGCGCUGUCUCAACGAAGGAUCCGGUGAAAUUGUAGUACCUGUGAAGAUGCAGGUUACCCAUGACAAGACGGAAAGACCCCGUGGAGCUUUACUGUAGCCUGAUAUUGGAUUUUGAUAUGGAAUGUACAGGAUAGUGGGAGACUUGGAAGCCUGGGCGCUAGCCUGGGUGGAGUCACCCGUGGGAUACCACCCUUUUCAUAGCGGAAUUCUAACCGGCGAGCCGUUAUCCGGUUUCUGGGACAGUGUCAGUGGGCAGUUUGACUGGGGCGGGUCGCCUCCUCAAAGAAGGUAACGGGA